GGCCGGAGGCGGCCUCACGGUUCCGAAGCCUGUCCCCCGUCUGUGGGCUGUUCCCAGUGGAGGUUCUAAGACGGCAGACUGGUCACGUCUGGGGGACUCGCUGAGCGGAAAAGCCAGCGCCCCGGCACGGAACAUGCACAGCUUCCCGCCUGCCUUGUCCGCCGCAUGGACUGAGGCGUGUGUGCACGUGCGCCAGAGGACUGGCCCCCAGAGCCAGGGGACUCCCUCCCCUGUGCCUCCGCUCUCCAGGCCCCGCUCCUGAGCCUUCCCCUUCUCUCCUUCAGGCUGAGCCACCCUGCCCUGAGCAGUGGAGCACCACUCUGAAGUUACUCAGCCCUUCGUCCAGAGAGAUCCCAGCUUAGGGAGCAGGGCCCAGAGCUUCGAGACCUGGGAAGGCCUGUCCUUCCCUGCUGGCUGUCCCCCAUCGGCCCCCCCCGUCCAUGCCCCCCAAGUGCUCAAGAACACGCCCACAACUAGCUCCAGACCCCUCGGGCCCUUCCUCUGCCCAUGCUGAGCCCCACUUCCCUGAGUCUCCUUCUUCGCUAUCUGGCUCUCACUGCGCUGUCAGCCAUGGGCAUUCGGGGUCCCCACCCCUUCUUGGGGGUGCAGCCCCGUCUCGCACUGCAUGGAUCCUCCCCUGGGGCAGGGGGCAGUGCUGGGCCUGCAGGACUUGCCUGGAGGGGCUCUGACAGGAGCAAGAUAGGUUGUCUGGAAUUGUCAAGGAAGAUGACCCCACCCAGCACCUUCUGGAAAGUUUUCAGACACUGGGGCUCCCUUGGCCUGUGCGUCUGGCUGAGCACUGACUUUGUCCUGAGAGCUUCGCCUGAUUCUCCACCAGCCGCGGCUUCUGUGCCACGCCCACGUCCUUGCCUGUGAGCAAAUUAAAGGCGCCGGAGAC
Ailuropoda melanoleuca (giant panda) is the source of this 898-nucleotide long non-coding RNA. RefSeq lists it as uncharacterized. NCBI's taxonomy places the organism in Eukaryota, Metazoa, Chordata, Mammalia, Carnivora, Ursidae. The transcript is spliced from 3 exons. The record is from RefSeq and is a predicted model, not a curated record.